RNAcentral lists this ribosomal RNA (490 nucleotides) under uncultured bacterium. RNAcentral describes it as "partial 16S ribosomal RNA". It matches the Rfam family "Bacterial small subunit ribosomal RNA", at positions 30 to 507 of the family's 1533-position model. The record is from RNAcentral.
AUUGAACGCUGGCGGCAUGCCUUACACAUGCAAGUCGAACGGCAGCAUGAUCUAGCUUGCUGGAUUGAUGGCGAGUGGCGAACGGGUGAGUAAUACAUCGGAACGUGCCCUGUAGUGGGGGAUAACUAGUCGAAAGAUUAGCUAAUACCGCAUACGACCUGAGGGUGAAAGUGGGGGACCGCAAGGCCUCAUGCUAUAGGAGCGGCCGAUGUCUGAUUAGCUGGUUGGUGAGGUAAAGGCUCACCAAGGCGACGAUCAGUAGCUGGUCUGAGAGGACGAUCAGCCACACUGGGACUGAGACACGGCCCAGACUCCUACGGGAGGCAGCAGUGGGGAAUUUUGGACGAUGGGCGAAAGCCUGAUCCAGCAAUGCCGCGUGUGUGAAGAAGGCCUUCGGGUUGUAAAGCACUUUUGUCCGGAAAGAAAUGGCGCUGGUUAAUACCUGGGGUCGAUGACGGUACCGGAAGAAUAAGGACCGGCUAACUACGUG